This 301-nucleotide ribosomal RNA is filed under the name uncultured bacterium. RNAcentral's name for it is "partial 16S ribosomal RNA". It matches the Rfam family "Archaeal small subunit ribosomal RNA", at positions 459 to 760 of the family's 1478-position model. The record is from RNAcentral.
CAGUAGCCACGGUAACACCAGCACCUCGAGUGGUCAGGAGGUUUAUUGGGCCUAAAGCAUCCGUAGCCGGUUGCAUAAGUUUUCGGUUAAAUCUAUGCGCUUAACGUAUAGGCCGCCGAAAAUACUGUGCAGCUAGGGAGUGGGAGAGGUACACGGUACUCGAUAGGAAGGGGUAAAAUCCUUUGAUCUAUUGAUGACCACCUGUGGCGAAGGCGGUGUACCAGAACACGUUCGACGGUGAGGGAUGAAAGCUGGGGGAGCAAACCGGAUUAGAUACCCCGGUAGUCCCUGUCUCUUAUAC